CAGUAGCCGCGGUAAUACGAAGGGUGCAAGCGUUAAUCGGAAUUACUGGGCGUAAAGGGCGUGUAGGCGGCCUGGGGCGUCCCAUGUGAAAGGCCGCGGCUCAACCGUGGAGGAGCGUGGGAUACGCUCAGGCUAGAGGGUGGGAGAGGGUGGUGGAAUUCCCGGAGUAGCGGUGAAAUGCGCAGAUACCGGGAGGAACGCCGAUGGCGAAGGCAGCCACCUGGUCCACUUCUGACGCUGAGGCGCGAAAGCGUGGGAGCAAACCGGAUUAGAUACCCCCGUAGUCCCUGUCUCUUAUACA
This 301-nucleotide ribosomal RNA is filed under the name uncultured bacterium. RNAcentral's name for it is "partial 16S ribosomal RNA". It matches the Rfam family "Bacterial small subunit ribosomal RNA", at positions 509 to 808 of the family's 1533-position model. The record is from RNAcentral.